GGACCGCUGGCGCAACGGUAGCGCGUUCGACUCCAGCUCAGGCUCAUCGAAAGGUUAUCCGUUCAAAUCGGGUGUGGUUCA
This 81-nucleotide transfer RNA is filed under the name Colletotrichum phormii. Its description in RNAcentral is "tRNA-Trp". It matches the Rfam family "tRNA". Rfam says of the family: Transfer RNA (tRNA) molecules are approximately 80 nucleotides in length. Their secondary structure includes four short double-helical elements and three loops (D, anti-codon, and T loops). The record is from RNAcentral. Lineage: Eukaryota; Fungi; Ascomycota; Sordariomycetes; Glomerellales; Glomerellaceae.